This 834-nucleotide ribosomal RNA is filed under the name Triticum aestivum (bread wheat). RNAcentral's name for it is "partial small subunit ribosomal RNA". Lineage: Eukaryota; Viridiplantae; Streptophyta; Magnoliopsida; Poales; Poaceae. The record is from RNAcentral.
AUGAUCGGAUAUGUGCAAGCUUUGGAUCGUUUGGGCUUCCCGCUCUUGGAUGAGCUGGCUACUGAUGUUGUUCUGGGUUCUCUUCCGCCCAGCUAUGGGACGUUCAUCUCGAACUAUCAUAUGCAUGGCAUGGAUAAGAAGCUCACUAAAUUGCAUGGGAUGCUCAAAGUGGCAGAGCAGGAUAUUAAGAAAGGCAUGCAUCAAGUGUUGAUGGUGCAGAAAUCGGCUAAGUUCAAGAAGAGUUGGUCCAAGAAAAAGGCUAAGGCAAAGGGCACGGAGACGGUAACCUCCGCCGAUGUGCCAAAGUCUGGACCGGACUCGAAGACCGUUUGUUUUCACUGCAAGGAAACUGGUCACUGGAAGAGGAACUGUAGCAAGUGGCUUGCAGAGCAUGGCAAGAAGGUCAGGAAUGCUGCUUCGGGCAAAGGUACACUUGUUGCAUAUGUUAUAAAUAUUUACCUUGCUGACAUACCUAGUAGCUCUUGGGUAUUUGAUACCGGAUCGGUUGUUCAUAUUUGCAACUCGAUGCAGGGGCUGGUAAGAACUAGGCGUGUGGCACAAGGGGAUAUUGACAUCAGGGUCGGCAACAAAGCAAGGGUUGUUGCGUUGGAGGUCGGCAUGAUGCAGCUCCAGCUUCCUUCCGGAUUCAUCAUGGAAUUGAAUAAUUGUUAUUACAUUCCUGCACUUAGUCGGAACAUUAUUUCUGCCUCAUGUUUGAUGAGUCAAGGUUAUGCAUUCAAUUUAAAGGACAAUGGUUGUUUGAUAUUUUUGAAUGGUAUGUUCCACGGCUAUGCACCCAUUGUUGAUGGGCUAUUUAUAUUGAAUCUAGAAUAG